Molecule: transfer RNA, 73 nt
Filed under: Xenopus tropicalis (tropical clawed frog)
Lineage: Eukaryota; Metazoa; Chordata; Amphibia; Anura; Pipidae
Description: tRNA-Val (TAC) (tRNA-Val-TAC-16-1)
Rfam family: tRNA
About the family: Transfer RNA (tRNA) molecules are approximately 80 nucleotides in length. Their secondary structure includes four short double-helical elements and three loops (D, anti-codon, and T loops). Further hydrogen bonds mediate the characteristic L-shaped molecular structure. tRNAs have two regions of fundamental functional importance: the anti-codon, which is responsible for specific mRNA codon recognition, and the 3' end, to which the tRNAs corresponding amino acid is attached (by aminoacyl-tRNA synthetases). tRNAs cope with the degeneracy of the genetic code in two manners: having more than one tRNA (with a specific anti-codon) for a particular amino acid; and 'wobble' base-pairing, i.e. permitting non-standard base-pairing at the 3rd anti-codon position.
Source: Rfam by way of RNAcentral
GCUUUCAUAGUGUAGUGGUCAUCCCGUCUGCUUUACACGCAGAAGGUCCUGGGUUCAAUCCCCAGUGAAACCU